CCCCACCUCCCCAGACCGGAGCCAGACCUUUGUAAUCCCCAGCUUCCCGCUGAUCAUCUUCGGGGAAGAGCUGGGAGCUGGGAGCGUUGCAAUGAGAGCAGGCAGCAUUCAUGUCCUCAGGGAGAGUGGAGCUUUAUCAGGCAGAAAAAUGAUUGAAUUCUUUUGUGUGUGUCUUUUAAAACGGGGCAAAAUCACCUCCAAAUGAUGAUAGCUUUUAGGAUUUUUGAAAGAGGAAAUUGAAUAUGUGCUUUUCUAAGUUCCGAGGUAUUGAUUGAGGACUAAUGGAGGGAAAUGGAUAAUUGGCUAAUUGAUCGGGUAAUUUAUAUUCUCCAACAAUCACCAGGUCGAGGGUGUCCCCCGCUGGCUAUGGCCUGGCCCCUUGUGAGAUCUGCCGAGCUGUUGAAGGCUGGAGACCCCAUCCUGCAUGCCAGGCUGUGUCAGGGAUCGCCAAGGCAACUCUCAGGAUUUUCAACAGCUCUAGGCCCUGGGCCCUGUGUCCAUCGGGAUGGAAGAGCCAAGUGGGAGGCUCGUGCCCUCAGACAGGAACCUGCGAUGGAGUGGUACCCAGGCCGAGUUUGCGAGUUGGCGCUUCAGGAUGGCUACACACAACCCCCGUGGGCACCUCCCACAGCUGCAGGGCUAAUGGCAGGGCCUUUUUUAUGCUACGUUCGCAUAUAA
RNAcentral lists this long non-coding RNA (678 nucleotides) under Sus scrofa (pig). RNAcentral describes it as "lncRNA (ENSSSCG00005014250.1)". Lineage: Eukaryota; Metazoa; Chordata; Mammalia; Artiodactyla; Suidae. The record is from RNAcentral.